Long non-coding RNA from Suricata suricatta (meerkat), 1794 nucleotides. RefSeq lists it as uncharacterized. NCBI's taxonomy places the organism in Eukaryota, Metazoa, Chordata, Mammalia, Carnivora, Herpestidae. The transcript has 3 exons. The record is from RefSeq and is a predicted model, not a curated record.
GUCACAGAGGGUAGCCAGAGCCUCCCCUUCUCCCUGGUAGCCAGUGGUCCCAAUUUGCAAGUGUUCCUCAAACUCUAACAGGCUGAGGAGUCACUUGUGGGGUUUGCUAACCUGUACACUCUGACUCAGCGGGCCUGGGGUAGGCUGAGAGCCUGCUUUUUGAACACGGUCCUAGGUUUUGACCCUGCUCGUCCAUCGAUCACCCUUUGGGUAGCAAGGGAUGUGGAAACCACUUUCUGUUCCUUCUAGGAAAUGAAGAGAAUGAAACUGCUACUUUAGGCGCUAGAGAAGGGGCGAAGAAGCUUCUGAUGAGGGAGGGCAUGGACGGUCCCCUACAUGCAGAAGGUGACCGGAGGACUACCCACCUUCAAGUUCUUGGUCUACAUUAGACUGCCUAUGUGGUUUCUGUACAAGGAGUUUCCUGGGCAGAAGGCUCCUGGUACGGCCUGAGGUUGGGGCCUGUCCCGAUCCACCAGAGGAAGCCUGAAGCCGGGGAGCACAGGGUCCCUGGACACAAGCACUUCUGGAACUCUCUACGAGGCCAGCAGGCUGACUUCCGGGCCACUGGGCCAGACCAGUGGGAGGGGAGAACGGGAUCAAAGAAAGAAGGUGCCAUACUCGCUUCAUCCACGGGGUGGAGCAUUUUAGCCAGAGAAGGGACCUCGGGAGGCCGUGAAGUCCUAGGAGAAAGAGAUGAGCCUGGCCCUGUCCAGAGUCACGACCACCAAACCCUCCUCCGCGGGUGGUCAAGUCAUCAAACUUCUUAAACCUGGGGGCUGUGCCAAGGCCUAGCCUGGCAAAAGAAAGUCUUCUAUGCGCUCUAACAAAUUAAAAAAAUUGAGAGCCAAAAAGGGGCCAGGGAGACCAGUGAAUCUGACCCUUUCCCAACAAUGAGAAAUGCGAGGGCCAAGACAUGAGUGAGCAGUCCUGGCCAAGGUCGCACAGCCGGGCUGCGACAGACCAGCCCAGAACCCAGGUCCCCCGGACGACCUGUCACAGCGCUCUCACUGAGCAACCCCCGGGUCGUUCAGACAGGGUCCCUGCCCUGUAGACCUUCCAGUGCAGGUGGGAACCCGAACACAUGUUUUACUAAGAGGUACAGUCUGAGGGAGAAAACGGGUGCAGCGAGGAGGAAGGGGGAAGCGGACACAACCCUCCCGGGGGUGGAGUCCCCCAAGUCCGGAGGCGCCCGGAGGCUCCCUUCAUCUCCCUGGGGACAAGUUCCCUAAGCAGCCUGCUCGCUGCAGCUGCGCAGCUCUCUCUCCUCGCUUCUGCUCCCAGGUUCCCUCCCUGGAUGCUUUCCUCAACCUUGCGUCCAAAGGUGCCACCACUUACCUAUGGUCACGGGCUCUCUGUCGUUCUGUCUUAAGACCACGCGCCUCUACUUGACGUUACGUUAAGCAUACACGCUUGCACGCAUGCGCGGGCUUACACGCAUGCUCGCACGUACCCAUUCACUUUGCUUGCGCGUGCGUGCGCGCACCCCACGUUUACAUCCGCUUGUUGGACCAUUGUUUGUGGAGGGUGUAAACUCAGGUAACUUCGGGUUAGCAAUAAAUUGCCAGUACCCAGAACAGUGUUUGGUACGUAGAAGAUGCCCAAUAAAAAUACAAUUGACAAAUAAAGGGAAGACCAAGACUUCAAGUCCUUAAUCUGUGAAAAGAAUUAUUGUAAAGAUCAAAUUAAGUAAGAUAUGCAAAAUCACUCUGGCACCUGCCGAGCAUAAAGAAUUGAAAGGGGUUAGAUUAAAGGACUGUAGGUCGGACCCACUCACAGACUGGAGGACUAGCAAAA